AGCUCCAAUAGCGUAUAUUAAAGUUGUUGCAGUUAAAGCUCGUAGUUGGAUUUCUGGUGGGAGGGAUCGGUACUUCAUUCUUUGUUGUGACUUGAAUCCUCUCCGGCCAUCCUUGGGUGGAUCUUGUCUGGCAUUAAGUUGUCAGUCAGGGGAUGCCCAUCGUUUACUGUGAAAAAUUAGAGUGUUCAAAGCAGGCUUAUGCCGUUGAAUAUAUUAGCAUGGAAUAAUAAGAUAGGGCCCUGGUACUAUUUUGUUGGUUUGCGUACCGAGGUAAUGAUUAAUAGGGACAGUUGGGGGUAUUUGUAUUCAGUAUUCAGUGGUGAAAUACUUAGACCUACGGAAGACAAACUACUGCGAAAGCAUUUGCCAAGGAUGUUUUCA
RNAcentral lists this ribosomal RNA (381 nucleotides) under uncultured eukaryote. Its description in RNAcentral is "SSU rRNA". It matches the Rfam family "Eukaryotic small subunit ribosomal RNA", at positions 587 to 972 of the family's 1831-position model. The record is from RNAcentral.